This is a long non-coding RNA of Mastomys coucha (southern multimammate mouse), 570 nucleotides long. RefSeq lists it as uncharacterized. Lineage: Eukaryota; Metazoa; Chordata; Mammalia; Rodentia; Muridae. The transcript has 3 exons. The record is from RefSeq and is a predicted model, not a curated record.
CUCACAGCAAUUCACAGCGCCGAGAGUGCGGCCGCCCCCGCGCGCCCAGAAGGGGGAGCCCGGGUGUGAAGCCCGAGCCGGGAGCGAGGAUGCGGAGCCCGGAAAGCCUUGGGCCGCAGAGGCGGUCACAGAGAAACAAAGCCAAGCAGCAGAAAUCCUAAAUGUAUGUGCUCUUUCUCCCUCUCCCAUUUCCUUAACAAGGAACUUAAAGACUCCCUGGCAAGAUCUUUGCUGUGCUCACUCAGUCCUGCUCAGAACAGGGCCUGGAGGUAUAUAGCCCAACAUGAAGAGCACUUGCUCUUGCAGAAGACCGGGGUUGUUUCCAUCAGCCACAUACAACCAGUUCCUUUCUGAUCUGGGAAAGGCACUGCCAUGGUUUGCCUCUCAGCAGCAGAGCCAAGGAUAAGUGUGCAAGUGUGAAACUUGACAAUGAGAAAAAAACCUCCCCAACAACAUCGCCUGACCUCCAUGGAUAUCAGGCUCAUACCUCAUUCCCUCACACCAUACACAUAAGAUAAACAAAUCCAAGACUAUGUUUAAAAUAAAAUAAAAUAAAACCACUGUUUUGCA